CCCCACUAUGCCCAGCCGUAAACUCUUAUUUACAUCUAAAUCGCCAGGGAACUACGAGCAAAGCUUAAAACCCAAAGGACUUGACGGUACCCCAUAUCCACCUAGAGGAGCCUGUCCUAUAAUCGAUAAUCCACGUUCAACCUCACCAUUUCUAGCCUAUCAGCCUGUAUACCUCCGUCCUCAGCCUACCCCGUGAGUGUAACCUAGUAAGCUUAAUGCCCCUACGCCAACACGUCAGGUCAAGGUGCAGCAAAUGAAAUGGAAAGAGAUGGGCUACACUCUCUAACUUAGAAAAUACGAAAGACUACCUAUGAAACCUAGUCGGAAGGCGGAUUUAGAAGUAAAAAGAAAAUAGCAUAUUCUUUUUAACCCGGCACUGGGGUGUGUACACACCGCCCG
RNAcentral lists this ribosomal RNA (399 nucleotides) under Proceratophrys concavitympanum. Its description in RNAcentral is "partial 12S ribosomal RNA". It matches the Rfam family "Bacterial small subunit ribosomal RNA", at positions 785 to 1396 of the family's 1533-position model. The record is from RNAcentral. Lineage: Eukaryota; Metazoa; Chordata; Amphibia; Anura; Alsodidae.